UUGCUUCAGCAGCAAAUAUACUAAAUUUAGAAAUAUACAGAAAAGAUCAGCAUGGUCCCUGCACAAGGAUGAUACAGGAAAAGCUUUUGUACAAACAAAACUAAUUU
This is a small nuclear RNA of Monodelphis domestica (gray short-tailed opossum), 107 nucleotides long. NCBI's taxonomy places the organism in Eukaryota, Metazoa, Chordata, Mammalia, Didelphimorphia, Didelphidae. The record is from Ensembl.